This 394-nucleotide unclassified non-coding RNA is filed under the name Hevea brasiliensis (rubber tree). The record is from RNAcentral. Lineage: Eukaryota; Viridiplantae; Streptophyta; Magnoliopsida; Malpighiales; Euphorbiaceae.
UGGAGUUACUUCUAUAUCACCUAGAGUUGCUUCGGGGCAUGGUUUGGAAGAAUCUGAUUGGCAACAAUCGAAUGUCAAGUGUGAUCACUCUGUACUCCCUCAGCUGAUUUCCCUUGAUGCAGUUCCUCCAUCAUCAAUUGCCAAAGAAGCUCCAGUUGAAGUAUCAGAAGAGAGUAAGCAUAGCUUCCUAGAUGAUGUCCCUCCAUCAUUGAAUGCCAGACGUAGAGAAACUUUUGAGAGUACGCUUACUUCAGUUGAGGAUGUUCCUUCAUCAUCAGUUGGCAGAGAAACUCCUCUGGAAGCAUCAGAAAAGAGCAAACUUAUUUCUGCAGAUGAUGUUCGUCAAUCGUCAGAAGGCAAAGAAAUACCUGCACAAAUAUCAGCAAAUUGCAAG